CCUUGAAUCAAAGUAUAAAAGGUGAAAACAUCGACGGGAACUUUUCAUACGAACCUAUUAAUCAUGACUAUACAGACGGGAAAUCAUUAUGUCAACCUUUUGAUAAUGCAUAUUUCGAUUGAAAACAGCCUUCAGUAUACUAAAAGAGGGGCGAACGAUACCAGAUGGACAUUCAACAUUACUUCGACAGAUAAUUGUAGUAAGGACAUAAUUCUGUAUUAUACAGCUAAUAUCUAAUAGACAUUGACGAAACGUAAAUAUGCAUACCAUCAUUUCCUUUUUAUUCAUAUGCAUUCCCUUUCGAAAGCCUUAAAAAUCUCAUUUUCUGCACAACCUUAUAAUGAAUGAACAUUACUCUAC
This 360-nucleotide long non-coding RNA is filed under the name Mytilus galloprovincialis (Mediterranean mussel). The record is from RNAcentral. Lineage: Eukaryota; Metazoa; Mollusca; Bivalvia; Mytilida; Mytilidae.